RNAcentral lists this non-coding RNA (26 nucleotides) under Mus musculus (house mouse). Lineage: Eukaryota; Metazoa; Chordata; Mammalia; Rodentia; Muridae. The record is from RNAcentral.
UGCAGAGGACAGGUACCCAGAGGUGU